RNAcentral lists this ribosomal RNA (595 nucleotides) under uncultured bacterium. RNAcentral describes it as "bacterial SSU rRNA". It matches the Rfam family "Bacterial small subunit ribosomal RNA", at positions 47 to 664 of the family's 1533-position model. The record is from RNAcentral.
CUUUACACAUGCAAGUCGAACGAGUAUGAGAAUUUUAGUUUACUAAAUUUUUUAUGCUAGUGGCAGACGGGUGAGUAGCACGUGAGAAUCUACCCAGUAGUAAGGAAUAACUGUUAGAAAUAGCAGCUAAUACCUUAUAAUCCCUGAGGGGCAAAAAUUUUAUUGCUAUUGGAUGAGCUCGCGCUAGAUUAUGCUUGUUGGUAGGGUAAUGGCCUACCAAGGCUACGAUCUAUAGCUGGUCUGAGAGGAUGAACAGCCACACUGGAACUGAGACACGGUCCAGACUCCUACGGGAGGCAGCAGUGAGGAAUAUUGGACAAUGGGCGAAAGCCUGAUCCAGCCAUGCCGCGUGAGUGAUGAAGGCCUUAGGGUUGUAAAGCUCUUUCAGCAGGAAAGAUAAUGACGGUACCUGCAGAAGAAGUCCCGGCUAACUCCGUGCCAGCAGCCGCGGUAAUACGGAGGGGGCUAGCGUUGUUCGGAAUUACUGGGCGUAAAGGGUGCGCAGGUUGCUUGGUAAGUUAAAAGCGAAAUCCCACGGCUUAACCGUGGGGCUGUUUUUAAAACUACCAAGAUAGAGUUCGAGAGAGGAUAGUGG